RNAcentral lists this ribosomal RNA (492 nucleotides) under uncultured bacterium. RNAcentral describes it as "partial 16S ribosomal RNA". It matches the Rfam family "Bacterial small subunit ribosomal RNA", at positions 29 to 507 of the family's 1533-position model. The record is from RNAcentral.
AGUGAACGCUGGCGGUAUGCCUAACACAUGCAAGUCGAACGGCAGCACAGUAAGAGCUUGCUCUUACGGUUGGCGAGUGGCGGACGGGUGAGGAAUACAUCGGAAUCUACUUUUUCGUGGGGGAUAACGUAGGGAAACUUACGCUAAUACCUCAUACUACCUACGGGUGAAAGCAGGGGAUCUUCGGACCUUGCGCGAUUGAAUGAGCCGAUGUCGGAUUAGCUAGUUGGCGGGGUAAAGGCCCACCAAGGCGACGAUCCGUAGCUGGUCUGAGAGGAUGAUCAGCCACACUGGAACUGAGACACGGUCCAGACUCCUACGGGAGGCAGCAGUGGGGAAUAUUGGACAAUGGGCGAAAGCCUGAUCCAGCCAUACCGCGUGGGUGAAGAAGGCCUUCGGGUUGUAAAGCCCUUUUGUUGGGAAAGAAAAGCAGCAGGUUAAUACCCCGCUGUUCUGACGGUACCCAAAGAAUAAGCACCGGCUAACUUCGUG